RNAcentral lists this ribosomal RNA (406 nucleotides) under uncultured bacterium. RNAcentral describes it as "partial 16S ribosomal RNA". It matches the Rfam family "Bacterial small subunit ribosomal RNA", at positions 30 to 526 of the family's 1533-position model. The record is from RNAcentral.
AUUGAACGCUGGCGGCAGGCCUAACACAUGCAAGUCGAGCGAGCGGCGGACGGGUGAGGAAUGUAUGGGAAACUGACCGAUGGAGGGGGAUAACUACUGGAAACGGAAGCUAAUACAGUAUACCAUCAGAUGGGCCCAGAUGGGAUUAGCUAGUAGGUGAGGUAAUGGCUCACCUAGGCGACGAGCCCUAGCUGGUCUGAGAGGAUGACCAGCCACACUUGAACGGAGACACGGUCCAGACUCCUACGGUAGGCAGCAGUGGGGAAUAUUGCCCAAUGGUCGCAAGCCUGAUGCAGCCAUGCCGCGUGUGUGAAGAAGGCCUUCGGGUUUUAAAGCACUUUCAGCGGGGAGGCGUUACCCGCAGAAGAAGCACCGGCUAACUCCGUGCCAGCAGCCGCGGUAAUUC